Molecule: long non-coding RNA, 2016 nt
Filed under: Lepisosteus oculatus (spotted gar)
Lineage: Eukaryota; Metazoa; Chordata; Actinopteri; Semionotiformes; Lepisosteidae
Description: lncRNA (ENSLOCG00000022388.1)
Source: RNAcentral
AUGAAGUUUAUAAACUUUACAUUUUUGCUAGCUACUAAAAAAAGUAAAAACUGAUGAAUACACCAUGGAGCUCUAAAACCAUAAGAAACCUUGGAUAAGAACAAGCCAUUCAUCCAAUCAGAUGUUACUGAUGGUUCCAGUUUAACUUAUUUUGUAUUUUAAUCUAUAGAACACGAUCCAAGGUUUUUUUCCGACUUUUUAAAACCUCAUAUUAGCAUGUUUACAGUUUUUCUCCCAGCAAAUGGACACAUCAAAGUCUUCGGUAUUAUCUAAACCUAAAUGGAAUUCAUCUCAAGUUAAUCAAAAUUGUACAGUUACCUGUCUACACUCUGUAUCUAUUAAGGACAACGGUACUGUAUCAACAACCAUGCCUGUGAAGGCCACAUCACUUACACUGGCCACUUGCAACGAUACGCACUUCUCUCCGGCUGUUACGGAUAUUGUGAAACGAAAAAUAACACUGGACGUGAACAUUAUUUGUUUACGCUUGUUUGCCUUCACCCUGCUCGGUUUGAAAUAUGAAAUUCCUAUCACGAUUAACAGAACAAAGGACUAAGCCCUGACAUGCGCAAAGCCGAGGGUUAAAUACUAUUGUACAAGCCCCAAGAGAAAGGCAGCAGAACACAGAUUGAUAACGACUAAGCAGGCUCAUGGCUUCACUGCAAUGUAUCCUUUCAGCGCAAGUUUGAAAGAAUGACGGAAACAAAACCCAGCACGACCAGCAACCGUGACCGGCACCAACGCUGGCAAUCGUAUCCGACGAGCGGCUGGUACUUACAGCGAAAGAUUUUAUUUUAUUUUGGCUGUGUGUGUGUGUUUUCCACUCGGCAGCCUCCUGCCUUGGCUGUCCCUCUUCUCAAUGUAACCGAACAGCUUUUUCUAGUCACACCAGCUGUGUGUACACUGAGCUCAACGUCAGAGGAAUGUGUGUAUGAGCGAAUAGCACGGCGUGGCCCGUCUUAAGAAGGCAGUGCAUAAUUUCAUAUCGCCUAUUUCAUAGUACACUUAGCGGAUGGGUGUUAUUUACUAUUAGGUUAAUUUUACUGGAUGUGGCGCUGUAUGUCGGGAGGCCUUUGAUUUAGCUGUGUCAAAUUAUUUAUAUUGCACAUUUUCUUCCCCCGGUCGCGUUCUGGUGCAGUGUUGACGAUUAUGCUGCGAACAGGAUGGUCCUGAAAUCCAUUAACAACCAGGAGUCGUAGUAUUAUUAAAAUGGAAACAACAACAAUUAGUAAGUGGUAACUAUUACGAUUAUUUGAACUUAAAGGGCAUUGCCAGUAGUAUUGUUAUUGUUAAGCUAGUGCAGAAUGCAAUGCUUUUAUUGCACUCUUGCCGUGUAAGCGCUGAGUGUGGUUGUGUCUUUUUUGGGGGGGGGGGGUUGUACAAUUUGCUGAAUACCGAUGUGCAUUGUGGUCAUACCUUGGCUGGGCUAAUUCCUUCCUCCGGUCUCACAGCCCACUUGUUAAGGCAGCGAGGGCUGGUCGGUGUGGUUGGUACAGUAUGUAUGUUUGAUUACUCCCGAUUCGGAACUGACCAGCAAGCCAAGAGCAACGCCUGGCAUCUGGCUUGCGUAAAUAACCCCCUUUCUCAAAAUGCCUGCUUUCUUCAUCACUUCCAACACUAACGCGUUUUCUCUAAACGCUGUCAAAAGCGGCCAAACACAUGAUCGACACAAUACCGUUAUUUAUUGUUACACGUCCUCAUAGUAUCGGUGUUAUUACAUGCCCAGGUUCUUUUUAUCUUUCAAUAUGUAACAGGCUAAGCCACUGUUUCUAAUUGUGUUUGUACAGAUGUAAGACGAUGUGUGAAGGACAAACUCUUGCAGUCGGUAUAGCAUGAGCCAUAUUUGUUUCUCCUUGAAACAAUGAAGGGCGGAAAUCAUUACACUUUGCAUUGUGAAUUAAAAUUUUCAAAAGUGUUAUUCAAAUUAUUAAACCUUUUGGUACAGAACUUCGUGACGUUUGCUGCCAUUUGUUUUGUAGACACCUCCCCACAGCAAGUAGUUCAAUAUUCCCAGAA